UACAGAGGGGGCAAGCGUUGUUCGGAAUUACUGGGCGUAAAGGGCGCGUAGGUGGCCUUCUAAGUUGAACGUGAAAUCCCUGGGCUCAACCCAGGAACUGCGUCCAAGACUGGGAGGCUUGAAUCCGGGAGAGGGAUGCGGAAUUCCAGGUGUAGCGGUGAAAUGCGUAGAUAUCAUCUGGAACGCCUGCGGUGAAAACGGCUCGCUGGGAGCAAUCUGACGCUGAGACACGAAAGCCAGGGGAGCGAACGGG
This 253-nucleotide ribosomal RNA is filed under the name uncultured bacterium. RNAcentral describes it as "partial 16S ribosomal RNA". It matches the Rfam family "Bacterial small subunit ribosomal RNA", at positions 524 to 776 of the family's 1533-position model. The record is from RNAcentral.